GUGGGGAAUAUUGGUCAAUGGGGGAAACCCUGAACCAGCAACGCCGCGUGAAGGAAGAAGGCUUUCGGGUUGUAAACUUCUUUGACAGGGGACGAAACAAAUGACGGUACCCUGAAAACAAGCCACGGCUAACUACGUGCCAGCAGCCGCGGUAAUACGUAGGUGGCAAGCGUUGUCCGGAUUUACUGGGUGUAAAGGGCGUGUAGCGGGACGGUAAGUCAGAUGUGAAAUGUAGGGGCUCAACCCCUGAACUGCAUUUGAAACUAUCGUUCUUGAGUGAUGGAGAGGCAGGCGGAAGUCCGUGUGUAGCGGUGAAAUGCGUAGAUAUACGGAGGAACACCAGUGGCGAAGGCGGCCUGCUGGACAUUAACUGACGCUGAGGCGCGAAAGCGUGGGGAGCAAACAGGAUUAGAAACCCGUGUAGUCC
This 427-nucleotide ribosomal RNA is filed under the name uncultured bacterium. Its description in RNAcentral is "partial 16S ribosomal RNA". It matches the Rfam family "Bacterial small subunit ribosomal RNA", at positions 354 to 796 of the family's 1533-position model. The record is from RNAcentral.